Molecule: long non-coding RNA, 1011 nt
Organism: Micropterus dolomieu (smallmouth bass)
Lineage: Eukaryota; Metazoa; Chordata; Actinopteri; Centrarchiformes; Centrarchidae
Exons: 8
Source: RefSeq, a predicted model, not a curated record
GUCCGCCCGUCUUUACAGAGAGCAGGCAAGUGCAUGAACAGACGAGUUUCUACUUUUGGGCUUUUAACGGAGACACCAAUCCAUCAUCCGUCAUUCUCCGGUUGUUUUAACUUGCGGUGGAGUCCAGCUUCCUCCUACAGACCGGGGACAAAGUCCAUCUUAAGUUUUCAAAAAUGGCGAGGGUUUUAAUUUUCAACAUCUGCCUGGUGUUGUUGCCGGCUGUGACGCCAAAUCAGUUCUCUCUACUUUGAAGGACCCACGCUUUACAAUAAAGCAGCAGGGCAGACAUUUUCUGUGUGGGUUCAGGACGAUAGUGGGCCGGGAAGUGAGAUGGAAGUUCACCUUGUCCACAAUACAAUGCAGCCAAGAGAGGCUAAAAGAGGCAGAGGGCUUCCUUAACUUUGAUAGAUGUCAUGGAUUAGGCUGAGUGCAGACUGAGAUUGUAUCAGAUUCCUCAGCCAAGUACAAUGUGUACUACACCCGCCUGUACCACGAAGCGAGUUCAACAUACCCAGGAUAUCAUCUGGCUUAACUAACCCAAUCGCGGUCAGGAUAAGUGGUACCACGAAGCUGGUUAUCAACUCGGGACGGUGGUAGGCAAGGUGAAUGCUACAGACAGAGAUGAACCAGGAUCUCGACACAUCAAGAUCAGGUAUAGUCUCUUGACUGGAUCAGACCUGUUUGCCAUCCACCCAACUACAGGAGUCAUCACCACAGCAACUAACACCCUGGACAGAGAGGUAAAAGAAAAGCAUACUGUGACAGUACAAAUCAAAGAUAUGGACGGCGCAGAAAAUGAUUUGUCCACCACAGGAACGUUGCUGUGGCUGAUAUCAACGACAACCCACCCACUUUCACAAAAACAUCUUAUCAGGCCAAUGUUGUGGAGCUUCUGUAUGAUGCAAAGCCCUUAGAUUAUGAGACCAAAAACGUAAAGCUUGACAUUAUGGCACGUAAUGAAGCUGACCUGAGUGGCACCAAGACCCAAUGGCUGUCUGUCCCUGUGAAUGU